Bombyx mori (domestic silkworm) is the source of this 3122-nucleotide long non-coding RNA. RefSeq annotates it as integrin beta pat-3. NCBI's taxonomy places the organism in Eukaryota, Metazoa, Arthropoda, Insecta, Lepidoptera, Bombycidae. The record is from RefSeq and is a predicted model, not a curated record. The transcript has 8 exons.
GAUAAUGGCAGCAAAGUUAUUUUGUAGCACAUUAUUACAGAUAUAUAUUUCCACGAGUUAUUCAGUGAAAUUUCAGUUACCAACUAAAAAUGUUUGUACAUUACCUUUUAUUUUUUUUACUUCUAAAAGAAUGUUUAUUGAUUGACCUAUGCGAAAAAUCUGAAAAUUGUAAAGAGUGUAUAAGAAAUCCGAAUGUUUGCGUUUGGUGUGCUGCUAAAGCGUUUAACCGUACCAGAUGUAUCCCUCGUUCUUCGUAUGAGGCAGAUUGGUGUCCUGAGCCGGUACCAGUCAAUGAACUCUCGAGUAGUAUAAUGAUUGAAUCGAACGAGAACAAACAAAUCAAACCGUUGAAAUACGAAAUGAAACUUCGUAUAGGUGAACCACAAAAGUUCAAUUUCACCUACGAUUUCAAGGACAAUCCCGUUGAUGUGUAUUUCUUGUUGGAUGCCUCCGCUAUGAUGGGAACGAAAAUAAAGAAUAUUGCAAGCAAAGCCGACGGCCUUUACAAAACCCUGGAGACUCUGACGAACGACUUCACUUUAGGAGUGGGUACAUUUAUAGAUAAAAACACGUGGAAGGAGAAUGGUAAAGAAAGCUACUCAUUCGCUCAUGAAUUGAGUUUGACAAAAGACCAUCAGAAAUUCGUUACUGCUUUAGAAUCCACACCCACGGGCUACAAUCGUGAUCCGCCAACUGGAUGCUUGGACGCUAUAGCCCAGGCUAUUGUCUGCGAUAAGCUAAUUGGAUGGCGUGAAAAAUCUAGAAAGAUCAUAGUCGUUCUAACCAACAACAAUUACCAUGACGCCGGCGACGGAAGACUAUCCGGUAUAUUUGAGCCAUAUGACGGACAGUGUUACACGGAUUUAAAGAACAAAAGAUAUAAGAGAGAAUUGACAAUGGAUUACCCUAGCGUUGGCAUGAUUAAUAAACUUGUCGAUCAUUACAAAGUGACAGUACUGUUUCUAGUUGAAUCAACUGUGAAAUCAGCUUACCAGAGUUUGUCAGAUGUGAUAUCUGGUUCGUACAUAGACGACUGGGUCAAUGAACCGAUUAAUCCAUACGACACUACAGGUCAAACUUUAAAGAAAAUAUACAAGCAAAUCAUUGGAAACGUCACGCUGAACGUGGAUUUUAAAGCGAAAAAUAUUGAAAACGUGAAGAUACACUUAAGUCCUAACUGCACUAAAGGAAACUACGAUAAGAACUGCCUGGUCAAAACAGAUCAAUCUAUAAAAUUUGAAGGGUCAGUCGAGAUUCUUAACUACGACAGUGCGGACAAUGUUUCGGUCGAAUUUUCGGUACAAGGACUGGCUGAGAAAUUAUCAAUCGAUAUUGAUGUUAUAAGUGAUUGUCGGUGCGAAGGAAAUGAAAAAUCCUCGGGAUAUUGCAACGGCAGACCUCUUGAGUGCGGACAGUGCUUAUGUGACGACGGAAACUCUGCAUGUAAUUUCGAAGGAAGCAUUUGCAGCGGUCACACGUGUUUCUGCGGUAUCUGCCACUGUACCUAUCCAUACACAGGAAAAUACUGUGAAUGCAACAGUCUUGACUGUGAAAAAAUUACGAGCGGCAACGGUGAAUGUGUUGAUGGUAAAUGUCAAUGCAAAGACGAGUGGUCCGGGAUAACAUGUUCUUGUCCCAAAUCAAACAGCACGUGCAAGGGAAACGAUAAUCGCGUUUGCAACGAUUACGGUUUUUGCUUAUGCGGCAAGUGUGAAUGCCACGAAUUAAGCGACUGGGAUCCUCGGCAGCUAGAUUCACUGUGCGCCCUAUCUCCUUGCGCCGACUGUCACAAGAAGCAAUGUAUAAAACUUAGUAGUCACGUCCUACAUUUCAACAAUGAAGAUCUCAACGAAUACAGCCGUCCCUAUAUAAAAAUGAAUAGCAGUGAUUCGCUUGAAGACCCUUUGGAACCGAGUUGGAAUUUAUGCCCAGAACUGAGGAUGGAAAACGGCUGCUAUACGACUUUUGCAUAUAAAUAUCAAGAUGGUUACGGGAUCGAAUUAUUGAUACAGAAAAACAAGAAUUGCGAUGAGAAUAUUUUAAAGCUGGGCGUGAUAGUAUCUGUAACCGUCAUCUUGGUAGGGAUCGGAACAUUGGUUGUUUGGAAAUUGAUGACGAAGUAUCACGACAGGAAGGAGUACAUGGAACUGAUGAAACAGUACAAUCCAGAUCAAGGGGCCCGUACCAAUAAGCUGUACAUAGAUCCAUGUGUGACUUUCAAGAAUCCGUCUUAUAGAGCGGAUCCUAUUACGGAAAGCUAGAAACAGAAACUAGCCUUAGCUGUGUUUAUAAGAAGACAACACCGAGGAGCCUGGACAUUGCAAGCCAACGAAAUGGUUUGCAGGAAAUUGACAGAUAUCUCUUCCUAGAAUCUAUCAUCUAAACAUGUUUUUUAAUAGUUCAUAAUAAUUAGUAAUAAUAAUUUGUAGUUUAGAAUGUAUUAAUCAUAAUCAAUAUGUUAGAGCGUAAUUAUAAAAUCAUUGUAUUGUUAUCGGUCUUUGAUGCCUGUGUAAAUUUUCAAGUUAACAAGUAAUCUUGAAAUUCGCGAAAAUGACGGUCAAAGAUUCCAGUCGUAAAAACAAAGCUACUUGCAUAGUACUAAAUAAAAAAAUCAUGUUCAAAUGCAAUUAUUGUAAUUUAGCAAAAUUUGUAAUUAAAUAAUUUUAAAUACAAAUGUCAUAGGAUAUAUAUUUAUUUUGUAACUAAAUACAUGUAGAUAAAUCGCAAGCUCAAGCAGUGAAUCAUUCAGAAGUUCUUUUGUAGGCUAAAUCAUAUAGAUAGGUAUUCAGUUUUUUUUUUCUUUUCUAGGUUCACUUUUUCGCUUACAAUUUAAUUUCCUUAUGUAUACUUUUCGUUUCAAUACUACUUAAAUUAUAGAAUACUAGCGACCCGCCCUCACUUCGCUUUUUUGCAAACGGUAAUUUAUUAUUGAUUUCUUCACUAUUUAAUGGAUGUUAUUAUAAAUAUAAACCUUCCUCUUCAAUCACUCUAUCUAUUAAAAAAACCCGCAUCAAAAUCCGUUGCGUAAUUUUAAAGAUUUAAGCAUACAUAGGGAUAUAGGGACAGAGAAAGCGACUUUGUUUUAUACUAUGUAGUGAUAUAUAAUAAACUUUUAUGACGCA